GGUUUUCCCAGGGCAUGGAAAGGACAGGGCUCCCAGUGGAGAUAUCAUGUAGCUAUAGGGCCUAGAAGUAUUUUUUCAGUAGAUGAAAUUUAGAAAUAAUUUGAAUAUUUUAUGCUGGGGAGGUAGCUUGUGGAGUGAAAUGGUCGGGUAAAGGAAACACUGAGUUCAAGUGCUUCUUUAUAAAGGACACUUAACUGAUCUAAAUAUUUGUCAAGCUGAAUCGCUACAUCCACUCUCACCUGCCUGAAAUCAAUAUGCUCAAGUCAAACGCAUUUGCCUGCAUCUGAAUGUGGAGAAUGAACUUCUUAAAGCUGAACUGGCAGCUGGAAGGGGAGAGAGAAGAGCUGGACAGGGAGCCAGGACACCGGAGUUCUUUUCCACUGUGGUGGGAUCUGGAAGAAGCUGUUGAAUCUCUGUAGAGUUAGCUUUUAAAUGCUGUGAGUCUUUGGAAAGCUGUGCGAAUAACUGCUAAACACCCAGGACAGCUUAUGCAUUUUUUGAAAAAGGUUCCUGGUGCUGGUUCCAGCAGAAUAGACACAGAGAUGCAUGGCCUAACUCCCACUCCCUCUUCAGGACUGAGCCACGCAGCCCCCCAUCUGCCAGAAGUGUUAGCUGUUGACGGCUCACAGCUGAGUCCCUCUCCAGGCAUUGCUGAAAAGAGCCACCUUGCUCUAGGAUGUGCCCCCACCCUGGGGGCAGCAUACAUUCCAAGUGAUUAGUCCAUAGUGUGGUACAAAGGUUGUACCCAUCUUGCCUGAAUUCAGGAUCUCUUGGAAAACCACCCCAGCUCUGCAGCUCCUGGUGGGGUGCUGAGGCCUCUGCUGCAGCUGCAUCGCAGUUUACUUUCCCCUCUGCCUAGUCCUGCUGCCUUCACUCCCCAACAGAUCACCCGCUCUGAACAUGCCAUCUACUGUGGAAAUCUUCAAUCUUUAAUUAAUUUUUCCUGUUACAGGAAGAUUAAGUCUAAAAGGGUAUCUCCCCUAGUUGAUCCAGAACUAAAUAACAUUGUUUUCAGUACUUCCAGUAACUUGCUUACACUCUUACUUCUAAAGCAUUGAAUGUAUCAUCUUAUGUGCUUGUCACCCCCAGCUUGUGUCAUAGGAGAAAGUAUACGGAGAUCAGGUACAACUUCAGUUCAACAGCUUAUGAGCUAUUGGAUCAGUCUCCUUAUUAAUCUCUCAGAGCCUCAAUUUCCUUGUUUAAAAUGGGGGCAAUACCUACCUUAAGGAAUUUCUUGAGGAUCAAAAGAAACCCUAGUAACAAAGCCUUGAACCAUGUCUGACUUAUAGUAUAUAUUCUAA
RNAcentral lists this long non-coding RNA (1301 nucleotides) under Homo sapiens (human). Its description in RNAcentral is "HSALNT0308485". Lineage: Eukaryota; Metazoa; Chordata; Mammalia; Primates; Hominidae. The record is from RNAcentral.